AUGGCGAACCACGAGGCCGCGGAGGCCGCGUCCAUCCGCAGCGAGGCCCGGGAGGUUCUAAACCUCCACUACGACGACCAGCACGAGGCUGCGGUGGCCCGCGCCGUAGUGCUCGCCGCCGUGCACCCGGGCUCCGCGGUCGCCCUCAACCUCGCCGGCUUGAUCCACCGCCACGCCUUCCUCGUCGCGCGGAACGACAGGGGCGCCCACAGCGACGACGAAGACGACGACGAGAACGCGUCCGCGCUGGAGAAGUACCACCGCCAGGCCGCCCUCGACGCCUUCUCCGCCGCUGCGCGGCUCGCCCCCGGCUGCGUCGUCACCAACGCCGACCACGCCGACGCGCUCGCCGACUGCCGUCGCUUCGAGGACGCGCAGAAGGAGUUUCUCCGCAUGCUCGACACGGUCGCCAACAACGACCAAGCCGACCCGGCGCUGUACAACGUGGUGUACGACAUGAGCGGGGACUCGAGCUCGAAGGAGAGAAGGCGCGACGCCGUGAAGAGCGCCAGCAUCGCCAUGGAGCGCUUCGCGAAAAGAAUCAACCACAGGAUUCUGCCAUUGGAGGCCGCCAAGUUGCUGGACGCCAGCAAUCUCGGCGGGCCUGCCGCCGAUGAAGCGCGAGACCGUGCAAAGCUUCUCGCCGAGACCUACCCCUACUCGCCGCGCGCCCAGCUACUCCGCGCGUACAUCGACUUGGCACCAGUCCGCGCCCUCGAUCCGGCAAUGGACAAGAAGCAGCUUCUGCGCCGCGCGCUCACCACCGUGUCUCAAGCGGCAGAAAACUUCGACCACUCGCUCAUGGUUGCCUUGUUCCACGCCAAGCUCUUGUUCGUCCUGGAUAACUUUGAUGCUGCAGAGAGAGAGUGCCGCCGGGCACUUCGCAUCGAGACACCGUAUGACCCCAAGUGGGAUGACAUACCUCCCAUGGCUGCUCUUGGGGCAGAUUCUGAUGCCAGAGUAUCUUAUGUCAAGAAGCAGCUCCGUGUCUUGCUCAAGCAGAUCAUAGUUGUGGCUGCACUAUACUGGUCCUCUAUGAAGAAUGCACUGCAGGGCCAACGCGUCGUAUCAGUUACGGUUGACACGCUGCAUGCGCACUAUGAUGGAAUCGACAAGUCAGCAGCAAAGACCAUAUCUGAUGCAACGCGCUUUCUCAAGAAUCAGGAGUCAUGGAGUUUCUGGAUUUGCCUCAAUUCCCGUUGUGAUGGCAAGAAGUUUUCGGACACUAGUUCGCUCUGGCAACACACGUGCAGCAAGCACCGAGAUGAGCUCUGGGGGAAGCUGCAGUCACUUAUAGAUCCAGAAUAUUGGGAAAAUACAUCACAGGAUGAUCACUCGUUGGUUGGGAUAACUCUCAACCGCCAGUCUGAAACCUUCCUUUUACCAAGGGUGCAGGAUAUGUUUGAAUCCUUGCUGCUUUCACCAUCUGUUGGAAUACAGGCAGAGCCCUUCGCUGAAAUGCGACAAAGGAAAUGCAGAGAAGGAUCUGAGAUCCUUGGGAGCAUCAGGGAGAAGCUGAGGAUGUUGCCUAAAGAUACACUUAGCACUGAGUUUCAGGAGUGCUGUUCUGGAAUAGAGAAAUUGUGGCUAAAGUUUCUUCAAGUUACUGUUGUGGAUUAUCGUGAAAUCAUUCUUCCCCUUGCGAGAUCAUACCAAUGGAUAGAAUUGAAGAAACGGAUUCCUUUUUAUCUAAAUCAUCCUGGUACUAGGCGUAUUGGAUUUGCUGAUGCCAAUAUUGAUAUUAUAUCCGGAACUUCUGGCCAAUCUGUCAAGGAAAUGGCAAGCACCUCCAGUUCUCAACAAAGCCUUACUGUUUCCAACAAGAACAAUGCUGAUAAAGAAUUGUCUAUCUUGAGUGUAAUCAUACAGUCAUUGUGCAAUCUGAGGCAUUUCAGAGACAAACUUCUGAUGGAGCCACUUGUAUGGAUCCCGUCAGUUGAAAAUCCCUGCAUUGUACAGCAAUUUUAUGAAAUCUUCUCUUCUUGGGAGAAAAACGACCACCACUUAACCGAUGUUGUACUGACUUGCAUGAAGACUCGUCUCUGCAGAGUUGUAGAUUGCAGCACUGAAAAGGUUGGGAAUACUUUUGCUUCUGAGAUUGUGGCCACAAUUCUCAUUGAAUUGCAUAUGUCAGAAACCUGUUCGCGUUUUAGAGAAAACAAGGAGACCGAGAGACAUGUAGUGAACCGAAUCACGUGCGGAGAUUGCAAAUGCCCAACACAUUAUCUUUUUGGGAUCAAAUUCGAUGCUCAAAUCAGCUGUAGCUGUGGGAAGUCUGGCGGUGAAUACCUGUAUACCACACUUUUCCAUAAACUUGAUGCCAGUUCACCUCAAACAGCAAAGAUCAAGUCCUUUGCAGAGCUUCCGGUUCUAUUGGAUGAACAGUUUCGCGAGGACAACAAAUGCGACCAUUGUGGAAGUCUGCAGAAUAUUGAUCUCUUUCUUUCAAACACACCACACUUCUUUACAGUAGUUUUGAACUGGCUGGGUGGCAGUGAAAGCCAGGAUGCACUAUCUGAAGUUCUGGCUGGCAUCACGUCUCCCCUUGACACUGAGUUCUUUUGCAGAAGUGCUCAUUCUGCAGCUAUGUAUGCUGUCACCUCCAUGAUCUGCUAUGCUGAUGACCGCUACGUCUGCUUUGCUCGCGACGAGGACAAGUGGGUCAUAUAUGGCUUCGAGACUGUCGAGAGAGAAGAUAGCUGGGAGCAUUUGCUAGAACGUUUCAAGGACUGCAAGCUCCAGCCUGAAGUUCUAUUUUUCGAGGUCAUCAAGUAG
This 2775-nucleotide ribosomal RNA is filed under the name Triticum aestivum (bread wheat). Its description in RNAcentral is "partial small subunit ribosomal RNA". Lineage: Eukaryota; Viridiplantae; Streptophyta; Magnoliopsida; Poales; Poaceae. The record is from RNAcentral.